Rhincodon typus (whale shark) is the source of this 836-nucleotide long non-coding RNA. RefSeq lists it as uncharacterized. The record is from RefSeq and is a predicted model, not a curated record. The transcript is spliced from 4 exons. Lineage: Eukaryota; Metazoa; Chordata; Chondrichthyes; Orectolobiformes; Rhincodontidae.
AUGAGCCUUUAAUCAUUGUUACUUUUCUCAUUUUCAGAGUUACAUUCAUGGAAACAGUCAAGCACAAUUUGUAGCUGAAACGCACAUUGUGAUUUUGCUGAAUGCUGCAAUAACAUUAGGUAUGGUGCUUCUUCACGAAGCAGCAACGUCUAAUAUGGAAAUAGGCAAAAGAAGAAUUUUGUGUGUGGCAGGACUAGGACUAGUUGGGUUUUUCUUCAGCCUAAUGUUGUCUAUUUUCAGAGCAAAAUACCAUGGAUAUCCAUAUCGCUUUCUUAUUAGUUGAUCCUGGACACACACACAAACUAGAAGGACGGCACCAUGGCUUGAGAAAUAUACACAAAAAAACACUUGAAGUUAAGAAGAGUUUGGUUGUGUUUCAGAUUACUUUCCAAAGUUAUUGCAAUCAAGGUCUCUCAAAGGAAGACUUAAACCAAAGAGAGCCUACAGUGCCUUAGCAGAUUUUUAAGUUUACUAUCGGACAAGAAAAAUAUUUUAAAAAUUGGAAAGGUUUCAAGGUAUCCUGGGAAAAAUAGAAAAUAAUUUAAAAUUGUUUGCAAUUUUCAAAGAAGUAUGCCACUUCUGUUGAUUGAUUGAUUAAAGUGCCUUAACCUGAAUUGUACAUCAAAACUGAAGGGCUGAUUUGCAUACUUGUAAAUUUAUACUAGUUGGUAUGUGAUAUUGAAGUAACAUUUUCAAUAGCUUGACCUAAAAUGCCACAUUCUGUUCUGUACAUUGAGUCAUUUUCUUCAACAGAUACUGUGAAACUGGCUGUUUGCAUUUUGCAUUUACAAUAAAGAGAUGACUUGAUGUCUGUGGUAUCAAUAACUGGGAGCAAA